GUAGAUUUAUGCAGUCGUUUGGGUGAUUGGUCACCACUUCCCUUGAGCACAUGGGUGGUAUUUGUUGAUGUUUUAGAAUUCUCACUUUUGUAAACAUUAAGCGUCUCCUUUGUUACAUCCAAAUCUUGGUUCAGUCUGGAAAUUUGAUCCUCUUUUUCUUUUAACAAAGCCGCAUAAUUAAUUGAUAAUGCUUUAAUUUCUGCUUCAGAGUCUC
RNAcentral lists this unclassified non-coding RNA (214 nucleotides) under Hevea brasiliensis (rubber tree). Lineage: Eukaryota; Viridiplantae; Streptophyta; Magnoliopsida; Malpighiales; Euphorbiaceae. The record is from RNAcentral.